GUCGCUCAACGGAUAAAAGUUACCCUAGGGAUAACAGGCUGAUCGCGUCCAAGAGUUCACAUCGACGACGCGGUUUGGCACCUCGAUGUCGGCUCGUCGCAUCCUGGGGCUGGAGAAGGUCCCAAGGGUAUGGCUGUUCGCCCUUUAAAGCGGUACGCGAGCUGGGUUCAGAACGUCGUGAGACAGUUUGGCCCCUAUCUGCUGUGAGCGCGUAGGAAUUUGAGAAGAUCUGCUCCUAGUACGAGAGGACC
RNAcentral lists this non-coding RNA (251 nucleotides) under Pseudoalteromonas citrea. RNAcentral's name for it is "partial 23S ribosomal RNA". It matches the Rfam family "Bacterial large subunit ribosomal RNA", at positions 2444 to 2693 of the family's 2925-position model. The record is from RNAcentral. Lineage: Bacteria; Pseudomonadati; Pseudomonadota; Gammaproteobacteria; Alteromonadales; Pseudoalteromonadaceae.